UCUAGCUGCAAAGUAUAAUCAUAUGGUAGGGAGAACCGCGUCAGUUAUAUCUCCCAUCUAUUCCUAACUCCCUGAUUCUAAGUCACAACUCCAAGUCACGAUGUUUGUUGCUUAAGUCUUGAAAUUGAAAGACUAGACAGAAGAGAAAAGGAUCAAGCAAUGAUCUCCAGAUUAUGCUGACCUACAUAGUAAAUUGUGAUUUUUUUAUUUGUAUUAUCUCGUGCUUUGUAGUUGAAUAAUAAAAAAAAAUAUGAGAU
Long non-coding RNA from Eurytemora carolleeae, 257 nucleotides. RefSeq lists it as uncharacterized. The record is from RefSeq and is a predicted model, not a curated record. NCBI's taxonomy places the organism in Eukaryota, Metazoa, Arthropoda, Copepoda, Calanoida, Temoridae. The transcript has 2 exons.